Oxyura jamaicensis (ruddy duck) is the source of this 1230-nucleotide long non-coding RNA. RefSeq lists it as uncharacterized. The transcript has 2 exons. The record is from RefSeq and is a predicted model, not a curated record. NCBI's taxonomy places the organism in Eukaryota, Metazoa, Chordata, Aves, Anseriformes, Anatidae.
AGCAAGAAAAAUAGUCAAGAAAAACAUUAAAGAUAGAGUUACAGAUUAAUUUAAUGUACACAACUUGAUAGUACUAAAGGCUUGGGUUUCUCAAAGGCCAAACUGUUCCUCUCUCUAUGCUGCUGACACUCAUUCAGAGUUAACAAAAUAGUGAAUAAGGGAGAAAUGGUGGAUAAAAUUAAUUCAGGCUUUCAAAAGACUUUUGAUAAAGACUCUUACAAGAAAUUCUACGGGAAACUUGGUAACCAUGGAGUGAGAGACAGAGUAGAAAUGGAAAAGGCACAGACAGGGGCAGAAUUGCUGAUCAAAGACACAGAUGUCAUCUGUGCAAGAAACUAUAAAGCAGAACAGGAUUCUUCAGGCUAGGGAAGAGGUGGCCCAGAGUAAGAAUGACAAGGAGGAGACAAACAGGGAUCAACCUGCAGCACAUGAUCUUAAAGUCAUGAGUUUUACUGUUGCGUGGUAAGUUCAAAACAGACAAAAUGAAGUCAUUCCUCACAUGGAGUGUGAAACAUUUCUGAAAGAAUCUAUUAAUAUCGUUGUGUUUAAGGUACCUGCAUACUCCUAGAAGGAGAAUCCUCUGGAGGUGACUAGAUACUGAGCUAUCACCUCCAUUUCAGGAAGUGUCUAGCAUGAAAACCUUUGGACAUGAAGGACAAACACUGCUUUCUGGCCCUGCUUUUCCCCUAGGCAUCUGUCCCUGGCCUGUGUCAGAGACAGACAAUUGAAUUGGAUAGAGUUUUGAUCUACACAUUUUACACUACACAACUAUAAAUAAUUCCUGGAAGUUAGUCAGGUGUAUGCAUACACCAAAAAUGGCAUGUGGAGAGAAGCAACUUGUGUUGCUGGAUGGGAGAAGAACAGAAAAAAUAGUAUCCAGGGAACAUUAGGACAUUACAUGUUAUGGUUUUAUCCUCUUGAAGCUAAGGCUAAACAGACUUCUACAUAUCAAAAAAAGGUUUUGACAAUCAGUGGGAGUUGGUUUAGCCCCUCAGGGCAAAGCUUUCUUUCCCUCUCCCAUAUGUUCCCAUUGCAGAUGGAGUUUCCAGAUAGGGUUUAUGCUUAAGAGAUACUGAGGUGCAGAAGAAUCACUCUGUGGUGACUCAGGGUCCAUCUAUUUGUUAUUCUGUCUGUAUCUAUCACUUUCAUUUUCUUGUGUUUUCUCUGAUAAGGGACCUUAGUGACUGAAAUAUAGAUCAAAGCUCCAGCCUAAGGCUUGUCAAAAGGAAA